Molecule: long non-coding RNA, 7475 nt
Filed under: Sus scrofa (pig)
Lineage: Eukaryota; Metazoa; Chordata; Mammalia; Artiodactyla; Suidae
Description: lncRNA (ENSSSCG00065062541.1)
Source: RNAcentral
AAGGAUCACAUUUUUCUCCUUUAUGUGUUUAGUAAUUUCUAAAUGGAUGUUUACCAUUGCCAAGUGUUUAGAUUCACUACAUUCCAUUAAAGAUUGUUGAAUUUUGUUGGGCUAGCAGUUGACAUUCUUUCAGAUCAUACUGAUCCUUUCAGGCUUGUCCAUGAAGUUUGUUAAGGAAGAUCUAGAAUUGCCUUUAUAUGAGGACAAGUUUAGCCCUAUUCCUUGGUCAUGACCUUUUUUUGAGCCUUUAUUACAUGUAUAAGGUGUUAAUGAGUUCUCCCAGCUUUAGCUGGUAAAAUUUAAACAUCUCUCAGAUUUGUACAAACACUGAGAAAUGUUCCACUUACAGCUCUCAGAUACUCUUUUGCCUUUUUUCAUAGGAUAUCCAUGCCUACUCUUCAGCAAAGCACUCAAGUGAGCCUUUAGGAACAUUACUGUAGCUCUUUGUCUUCAUAGUCUUCUCUCCAGGACUCUUCUGUAAAUUCCAGAAGCUUCAGCUCCCUUUUCUAUGAACUCUAUCUGUUCAACUCAGAGAAACCAUUGUCCUGAGUUUAGUUCCCCUAAUUUAGCCACAGUCUCAAAAGUAUUUCCAGGUAGAAAACCAGGGCCAUUACAGAUCUCAACUCAUUAGUUUCUUUUCUUAAAGGUAUCACAGUCCUCUGAGCCUAUUGGCCAAGAUCUGAAAACAGCAGAAGUGGUUUCUUAUAUUUUAUCCUGUUUUCCUACUGGGGAGGCAAGUUUUGAACUACUUAUUCUCACACGGCACAGACAAAAGUCCCCCUUCAGUGAAUAUUAUAAAUAUUACAUCCUGUGAGUGAAAAACAAAAUGUAAUGUACACUGCAAUGGAAUAAUAUUCAGCAAUAAAAAGGAGCCAAGUGCUGACAGAUGUUACAACUUGGCUAAAUCUUGAAAAUAUUAUGCUAAGUAAAAGAAAUCAGACUCAAGAGAGCAUAUAUUGUGUAGUUCCAUUUAUAUAAAAUGUCCAGAAAAGGAAAAUAUAUACAAUGCAGGAUUGACAGGUAGCUAUCCUGGAAGACAACAAAAUAUGACCUCAAAGUCUUGGAGUAGAAGUAGUGUAGCCAUGAUAGCUCCAGUAUUGAUUUCACAUCAAUCAGUAUUGAUUUGUAAAACAUGAGCAGUGCUGGAGAUUCCCAUCUAUUACAUUGUAGUUGACUGGACCUUUUUGUGAUUUUAAGGGACAAAACAUGAAUUAGUAUUAUUUGGGCAUUAAAUAGAAUUGCUGCUGCUCAUAACUGGAGUACAAAGGGUCAUGAGCAUUACAAAGAUUUUAAAAAUAUGAUGGAUCAAGAGCUAGCUAUAGCAAAAACUAUAGCUCUUAUAGCUAUAAUAAGAGACAGUUGUUCCACUUUUAAAAAAACACAGAGAAACUACUUAUAAUUUAGCUUACUUUGCAGACCCCUUAAAGACUCUAAUUUUAUUAAAUAAAUAUCGUCUCUACUAAUAAAAAUAUUCUCUUGAUAUAUACUUCUAAGAUCGUUACAAACCCCUGUUUUAUGUAUGAUUAAGAAAUGACUAAACAAUUUCUCAGCUCUCAUAAAGAGUCAGCUUGUGUCUUUUUAAAGGCAGCUGAAUAUUCCUAUUGUCCAGCACUGCAAACUGCACCGUUGGUGGUACUGCAGUGUACCAGGGAAUUUUCUACCAUUAAAUCCACAUCCUUGUAUAUCCAAUGGAAAAAUGUUCAAAGAUUAGAUGGAUUUUACUUAAGAGAUGGAAGCAUUAUCUUGAACAAUUCUUGGGAUAGGAUUAAAAAAAAACACAUAAAUUGAAUCAAUUUGGUAAAGAAGAUUAAACUGUUGGAAUGGGGUUUUACCUACCUGACCAUAUUGAUGCUUUGAAAUUUAAUUAAAAUUUAGUUUGAAUAAGGAUAAUAUGUCCAUGGUUCAUAAGCAAAACAUACUAGAACUGAAAACAAAUAGCUGGUUCUGUAGAUAGACUCAUGGUGUUAUAUCAUCCUUUAGGAAACAAAAUUGUGGCUGAAUAUGUUAAGAAUAUGUUUUGUUCCCCGUUUCAGUGCUGUGUGCCUUGUGCAACAUAUUGCCUCUCCUGCUGCUGUGUGCAACCUUUUUACAGUUGGCAUAAAUAUGUACAUUAAAUCUAUUCUUAUUAUUACAGACAUCCCACUGUGAGCCCCCAUUACAAUGGUGUCCGUUAAGCAGUGUUUUUAUUGCCUAAGUUACCACGCUUUUGUAAUGUAUGUUAUUAAGUGCCACCUUUUUUCAGCACUUUGAGGCUCCAUAAUUACCAAUGGAGGCAACUGUAUGAUGUUUGCAAAUUUACACAGAAGCUUGAACAGGGACACCAGCUGCUAGAUAGCAAUAACAGAAUUUAUGCCUGAGGAUCCUGCUGAAAAAUGGUAAUUUCAGCCCAAUAUUUUUUUAAUUUCCAGGGAAACACCUGAAUGUAGACCCAUGGGCAACCAUGACCAUACAAAUUGGGAAGAGAAAUGAUUGCAACACUAACAACAAUGACAACGCUGACAAGUAUAGCAAAAAUCCUCUCAGAGCAUUCUUUCCUAUAAUAUUGUUCUACAUGCCACACUUUGCUGCUUAAGGUACAUAGGACUCUAUUUUUGCUUUGACAAGGGAUAUCACUUUUUGUAACUGAAGAUCACCCCCCCAAAAUCAGUUUUACUGCAUAUGUUGAAUAAAAAGGAAUAGGGACAGACAUUAUUAUCUUUCUCUAAAAGCCACUUCCCAGUCCUGAAUAUCUUUCCUGUUAUACAAAUAUGUUUUCCUCUCACACCUUGAAAGAACUAUUCCUAUUGAAGUCCAUUUUAGUUAUCUAAGUUAAAAGAGUCAAGGUCCUAGAGGGAGGAAUAGGUGACCAAGGAGCUGGUUAGUGAAGAAGGAAAGAUAUUUGGACCACAAUGACCCAAAAGUAGCCUCUGAGGCACAUGAUGGAUGAUCAACACGUAGGAUUCUAGAUCACAGCAGGCAAACUUGUGGCAAAUCAUCCUGAUAAAGAAGCCAAAUUUACCCAGUACUAUCUUAAGUUCAUAUGCCUAUCAGUGGAAUAAAAAUGAAGUUGAGAGGAUACAAAAUUAUUGAAGACACUGCAUUUCUGGUCAAAGAACCUUUUGAAUAACACAAGGCAAUAAUUAGUCAGAUGCCAAAUAAUGAAGUACAAAAGGGCUGAAAUAUUUUUUUAAAGUUACAUGAUUUUUACAAAGCUACAGUCAUCAAAACCUUAUGGUACUGGCACAAACACAGAAACAUAGAUCCGUGGAACAGGAUAGAAAGCCCAGAAUUAAACCCACGCACCUACAGCCAACUAAUCUAUGACAAAGGAGGCAAGAAUAUACAAUGGAGAAAAAACAGACCCUUCAGUAUGUGAUGCUGGGAAAAUUGGACAGCCACAUGGAAAAGAAUGAAAUUAGAACACUUCCCAAUACCAUACACAAAAAUAAAUUCAAAAUGGAUUAAGGACCUUGAUAUAAGACCAGAUACUAUAAAACUCUUAGAGGAAAACAUAGGCCAAACACUCUCUGACAUAAAUGACAGCAACAUUUUCUCACAUCCACCUGUUAGAGUAAUGACAGUAAAAACAAAAAUAAACAAAUGGGACUUAAUUAUAAAAGUUUCUGCACAGAAAAGGAAACCCUAAACAAAAGAAAAUGACAACCCACAAAAUGGGAGAAAAUAUUUGCAAAUGAAGCGACUGACAAGGGAUUCAUCUCCCAAAUUUAUAAACACCUUCCUGCAGUCAAUGCAAAAACACAAACAACCCCAUCAAAAAAACGGGCAGAAGAUCUAAACAGACGAUUCUCCAAAGAACAUAUACAGAUAGCUAAAAAAAUAUGAAAAUAUGUUCAACAUUGCUAAUUAUUAGAGAAAUGCAGAUCAAAACCACUCUGAGGUGCCACUUACACUGGCCAGAAUGGCCAUCAUCAAAAAGUCUAUAAACAAUAAAUGUUGUAGAGGGUUUGAACAAAUGGGAACCCUCUUAUAUUGUUGGUGGGAAUGUAACUUGGAGCAACCACUGAGCAAAACGGUAUGGAGAUUCCUCAGAAAACUAAAAAUAGAAUUACCGUUUGAUUCAGCAAUCCCACUCCUGGGCAUCUAUCCAGAGAAAACCAUGAGUUGAAAAGAUAUAGGUACUGCAAUGUUUAUUACAGCACUAUGUUCAAUAGCCAAGACAUGGAAACAACCUAAAUGUCCACUGACAGAGGAGUGAAUCAAGAAGAUGUGGUACAUAUACACAAUGGAAUAUUAUUCAGCCAUUCAAAGGAAAGAAAUAAUGGCAUUUGCAGCAACAUGGAUGGAUCUAGAAAUUAUCAUGCUAAGUGAAGUCAGUCAGACAAUGAGACACCAAGAUCAUAUGCUAUCAUUUACAUGUGGAAUCUAGACAAAAAAGACACAGUGAACUUCUUUGCAGAAUAGAUACUCGCUCACAGACCUUGAAAAACAUAUGGUUUCCAAAUAAAACCGAUGAGGGGGUGGGGGGAUGCACUGAGGAUUUGGGAUGGAAAUGUUAUUAAAUUGGGUUGUGGUGAUCGUUGUGCAACUGCAAAUGUAAUAAAAUUCAUUGAGCAAUUAAAAAAUGUUAAAAAAGUUAUAUGAUCUUUAUAGGGUAGAGCAUUUGAGAAAAGAAAUCUCUUAAAUGGAUAAAAUUGAAAUGGAAAAGGGAAGAGUUACUGUACACAUUUUAGGAAGUAGAGAAUAAAAGCACCAAAGAAGUUUAAUAUUCCUGAAUCAUAUGAUGACAUGCUCGCUGGUCUAUUGAUUAGAUACAGACAAUAAUAAGGAAAUGCAUUUAUAUAGAAUGUUACAAUUCACAAGGUAACAAGCUCAUACUGAUUCACCUAAUUUCUUCACAUGCGGCUAACAGGCAUCUCCAAUUUCAGAAGAAUCUAAAGUUCAGGUUAGUUAGAAAGCUUAGUAUGGGGUAUACAGCAGAGACUAUAUUAAACCUCAGUCUCCUAAAUCCUAAUCCAGUGUUUUUUACUUAUCAAUACAGUAAAUUAAAAAGAAAAUAAGGGAUAGGUCUAGGAUUACUUGUUGGACCUCUUUUAGAAGAUAAGUAUUCAAAUUUAACAGUGGCAGUUCUGGCUCUUGUGCAUAUUUUCAUCAACCUCCACCUUACCAGCCCAGGGCUUUGCUGUCGAAAAGCAAAAGAGGGGAGAAGGUGGCCUGGGAGGAAAAAAAAAAAAAAAAAAAGAGGGAAAAGCAGCUUGACUCCCCUGACUUUUCCAAAGUCUCCUCUGUAAAACAGAAAGACCUUUUCAUCUGACUAGAAAGGCCUCUGUAGGGGGUGCUCCACUGAAGCUGCAUAUGUUCUGUUGAAAAGAUCACUAAGGACUUUAGUUGGGUUUUAAUACUCAUAUUCAAAACCUAGGAGUUCAGAAUAGAAUAUUAGUUCCUAUUUUCACUCUUUGUUCAGACACCCAGUUGAGAACCAUACUUGAUGAUUAUCAGUGACGUGCAUCAGCUCAUAAGCAACCCUUUGGCGUGUGAACAUGAGGGAUUUUAAAAUAUGGGGCUCUUCAAUAUGGAUUUAGGUUACAGUCAUGUCAUGAUCUCACCCUUCCACAAUCUCAAAGGAUCAGAUGGCUCUAAUUGCAGAGAAGUAAAUGAGUAAUCUGUAGUCUAUUUUAGAAAUAAGAGGCCAGAUGAUUCCCUUUCCAUGAGGGACUGAGAUUUCAUCCGCUGCCGAAACCGAGUCUGAUAAGAAUGUAGUAGUUUCUGAAAUCUGAACCAAGGCAAGCAAUGUUAUUUUCAUUUCUGAAAAUGACCUAUGUCCAGUGUAGCAAUCACCUAAUAGGGCUGUAUGCCAAAGAACGCAUUUCAAAUGGCAGAGUUUCUUCUUUCCUUCAGUUCCCUUCUUAAUUCUAUCUUAAAGUGUAUCUUGAAUCUGAAUGAGCUCCAGACAAACCCCGCAUGCAACAGUCAGGAGAAUUCAAACCAAUGCAUUUAUUAUGCUCAGGAAUCACAGCUGACUCCCAGGGUUGCCAAAUCCAGUGGGAUUUGUACAAACUGCACGUGGUUUUCAUAAGCAUUGAUUGCAGCCAAAAUGCUGUUUUGUGAGUUGAAUGUUUAUCCGAUCGCCAAAUGACCAAGGUUGACUUUGCAUCAAUAUGAAGGUUUAUUAAGCUUAUUAUAUGACUUUUUGUUUACCAGCUUAUUUGCUUCUGCAAAAAUGUAACAUAAAUGUGAAAUUUCCCUUUCAAAUUCCUAUCAAUGAAGACAGUGAUUUGUUUUGUUUUCAUGAAUCCUGGGCUGUCAGACUACAAUCAAAUACCAAAACACAAAUAAUAAAAACCAAUCUCUCUGGUGAUUUUAGAAUGUGAAAAAGUAAUUUUUAUCUAAAAGGAGAAUUGUGUUCCUGCCUAUUUAUCUAUAAAACCAGUAAAGUAAUUACUAACAGUGCAAGCCUAUGAAAAAAAAUAAUAAUGAGUUUUCCAUAAUACCAUAUUGUAGAAUAGAUAAAAAUAAAGUCCAAGGCUCCAGGGAGCAGAAAGUUCUGCAUGUAGAUGGGCAGAAACAAUGCAGGACUUAAGCAGAGUAACAGAACUUACCUCUAAUUGAGGAUGCUCCCUAAGGAGCUUGUUACCACAACAUCUAGCUAAAGGUUUCCUAAGAACCAUCUGAAGCUUGGUCAUCUGGCUGGCAUUCUACAGUAACAGCUUUUCACUGAAAUUCAGUCUUAUUGAUAUCUAUUCACAUUUUUUUUAAGAUGGGAAAGAAAAAGCUUAAGAAAUAAAAACAGAAAAAAAAUAGAAUUUAUGUUUAAAAUGAGGCUCUCUCCUUUAUGAUUGAAUUUGUUUAGAGGAGAAAUGGUAUCCUUGUGAUUAUCUCUGUCUGUAUUGCCAGCCUCUGCUAAGAAAGUAAGAAAAGAUGACAAUGAGAAUUUGAAGCAAACUUUUUGGGGUCCUUGUUCUAGAAGAAAGAAUACCCCAUGGGAAGGGUGACUACAAAUGCCUGUGCUGUCAGAUUUCAUGAAAUAUGGGAGGCUCAUAAGGCAAAGACUUCAGUGUCCAUUUGCCAAAGCCAUCUUAGAAAACAGGAGGAAAAGAAUUAAGUAAGUUGACUUAAAACCCAAACCACAGACUGGUAUGGGUGGCCAGGUAUUUGACAAGGUGGCCAGUCUUAGUAUCACAAAGACAAAAGCAAAAGGAAACAAACAUUUCAGUCUGUCACUAAUCAGUAUGUUCUAUCUCAUGGAGAUCUACCCAUCUGUAAUAGAAUUUUCAUUUUGGGCUUUUGGUGAUAUAACAGCCAUGUUGCUGCUGACGCUCUGGAAAUAUUAACAUUUGUGUUUUCAAGUGGAAACUAUCCACAUACAAAGCAGUCAGGCCAAACCCAAGUACUUUCAAAAUCCCAAAUACUACACUGUAAAACAUUGUAAGCUUUCACAUCCUCUAACUUUGUUUUAUCAUCAUUCGAGAGGGUACUAGCAAUUCCAAAGAUGCUAAGGAUGUCAAAACUGAGUACUGAAAUGUAAAAAUGCAUACUUU